This 602-nucleotide ribosomal RNA is filed under the name Trichoderma asperellum. RNAcentral's name for it is "eukaryotic LSU rRNA". The stretch from base 211 to 364 matches the Rfam family "5.8S ribosomal RNA". Lineage: Eukaryota; Fungi; Ascomycota; Sordariomycetes; Hypocreales; Hypocreaceae. The record is from RNAcentral.
UGGGUGAACCAGCGGAGGGAUCAUUACCGAGUUUACAACUCCCAAACCCAAUGUGAACGUUACCAAACUGUUGCCUCGGCGGGGUCACGCCCCGGGUGCGUCGCAGCCCCGGAACCAGGCGCCCGCCGGAGGAACCAACCAAACUCUUUCUGUAGUCCCCUCGCGGACGUAUUUCUUUACAGCUCUGAGCAAAAAUUCAAAAUGAAUCAAAACUUUCAACAACGGAUCUCUUGGUUCUGGCAUCGAUGAAGAACGCAGCGAAAUGCGAUAAGUAAUGUGAAUUGCAGAAUUCAGUGAAUCAUCGAAUCUUUGAACGCACAUUGCGCCCGCCAGUAUUCUGGCGGGCAUGCCUGUCCGAGCGUCAUUUCAACCCUCGAACCCCUCCGGGGGAUCGGCGUUGGGGAUCGGGACCCCUCACACGGGUGCCGGCCCCUAAAUACAGUGGCGGUCUCGCCGCAGCCUCUCCUGCGCAGUAGUUUGCACAACUCGCACCGGGAGCGCGGCGCGUCCACGUCCGUAAAACACCCAACUUUCUGAAAUGUUGACCUCGGAUCAGGUAGGAAUACCCGCUGAACUUAAGCAUAUCAAAAACGGGAAGGAAA